ACAGGUACCAGCAUCUCUUGAAACAGAAGCUGCAGCUCUUGAAGAGGAUGAAGAUGAGGAGCAGAUCUAUAAUAAGGAGAAAGGCUAGGACAUCCAGGCUGUGGUACUGGUACCAGCAUCUCUUGAAACAGAAGCUGCAGCUCUUGAAGAGGAUGAAGAUGAGGAGCAGAUCUAUAACAAGGAAGAAGGCCAGGACGUCCAGG
Poecilia latipinna (sailfin molly) is the source of this 203-nucleotide long non-coding RNA. RefSeq lists it as uncharacterized. The record is from RefSeq and is a predicted model, not a curated record. NCBI's taxonomy places the organism in Eukaryota, Metazoa, Chordata, Actinopteri, Cyprinodontiformes, Poeciliidae. The transcript is spliced from 3 exons.